Molecule: microRNA precursor, 93 nt
Filed under: Canis lupus familiaris (dog)
Lineage: Eukaryota; Metazoa; Chordata; Mammalia; Carnivora; Canidae
Also listed under: 1 other name
Description: mir-8799 microRNA precursor family
Rfam family: mir-8799 microRNA precursor family
Source: Rfam by way of RNAcentral
GGGGGGAGCAUGGAUCCUGGGCUAUGUAUCCUGGCGCCCUGGGCUCUGGGCCUGCACCGCUGGAAUCACGCUCCCAGGGCAGUGCAGCCCCCU